Molecule: long non-coding RNA, 1102 nt
Filed under: Cottoperca gobio
Lineage: Eukaryota; Metazoa; Chordata; Actinopteri; Perciformes; Bovichtidae
Description: lncRNA (ENSCGOG00000019470.1)
Source: RNAcentral
ACUCAAUGACAUGCAUGAUUGCCAACAUUUCACCUGGUCAUUUAGCAACUGAACACACACUAAAUACACUGAGAUACGCCGACCGGGUGAAGGAGUUGAGGGGACAGGGAGGACUACGAGGGGGAAGAAGGGGCAAGAUAAUUCCCUCCCCCAAACGUAACCUGUCCAACAGCAACAGCAACAGCAACAGCAACAGCAACAGCAUCAGCAACAGCAUCAGCAACAGCAACAGCAACAGCAACAGCAACAGCAACAGCAACAGCAACAGCAACAGCAACAGUGGAGGCAACAGCGUUGGCACCCGAGGGAAAAGUCCCCCUAAAAAGCCAAAGUUAGGGAGACAAAUGGAGGAUUUUGGACCCAUCAUGCCUACUAUGAGGUUGGCGUCAGGGGGCGCAAUUCUCUGCUCCACACCCAAAAACAGCAGAUGGGGAGAGGAAACAACUGCAAGCACAAGAAAGGGUAUUGGUGAACACAUAACACCUGUCAAAGGUUUGCUGGGAAUGGAUGAUAAGAGGGAGAGAAGGGAGAGAGCAGGAGGGAGGGAAGGUAGAAGAAGAGAAAGGUAUGUAGUAACUGACAGUGGAGGCCACUCAGUUUGUGACCAAAACUCAGAGGCUGGGUUGGUCUUGGGACAAGCAUCAGAUGAGCAGGUCCACUUGUGGGAGGCACAGGGGGAAUCUGGUUUCUACCACAGAGAAAAAGAGAACCAAAAAGAUGAAAGAAAAAAAAAGGAAGUGGGAGGAAAUAAUGAAAGAAGAGUGAUGGAACAGAGAAGACAAGUGGAAAGCACGGGACACACAUGUGGUGAAGAAGAAAGGUUUAGGGAAAGAAAUGUGCAAAAGGUUGAUGAAAGGGAUAAGAAAAGGGAGAGGCAUCUGAGACAGUAUCACCAGCAGCUGCAGCAGUUCAUGCCCUCAUCAGCUUCUUCAUCUAUCCUCUUCUCACCCUCUACAUGUCCGUCUUUUUCUUCCUCUAAUCGGGCCUCACUCUCUUCUUCGGUCUCUCCAUCUUCCUGUUCUUCUCUCCAACAAUCUUCCCGCCUCUCAGUUUCUGACCUUCAGUAUCAUGGCUUAGAAGAGGUUUUAGAUGCAUACAGAGC